GCCCGGGCCACGCGCGCCGCCGCCGCCGCCCACGCGCGACCCUCGGGGGCCCGGCCGCGACGCCCCUUUGUCCGGGGGGGGCCCCCCCCGCUUCAUGCCGCCGCCCCCCUCACGCGCCGCGUGCCCGGCCGCGCCCAGCAGGGUUUCCAGGCCUGAGGUGCCCGCCCUGGCCCCAGGAGAAUGAACCAGCCGCAGAGGAUGGCGCCUGUGGGCACAGACAAGGAGCUCAGUGACCUCCUGGACUUCAGCAUGAUGUUCCCGCUGCCUGUCACCAACGGGAAGGGCCGGCCCGCCUCCCUGGCCGGGGCGCAGUUCGGAGGUUCAGGUCUUGAGGACCGGCCCAGCUCAGGCUCCUGGGGCAGCGGCGACCAGAGCAGCUCCUCCUUUGACCCCAGCCGGACCUUCAGCGAGGGCACCCACUUCACUGAGUCGCACAGCAGCCUCUCUUCAUCCACAUUCCUGGGACCGGGACUCGGAGGCAAGAGCGGUGAGCGGGGCGCCUAUGCCUCCUUCGGGAGAGACGCAGGCGUGGGCGGUCUGACUCAGGCUGGCUUCCUGUCAGGCGAGCUGGCCCUCAGCAGCCCCGGGCCCCUGUCCCCUUCGGGCAUGAAGGGGACCUCCCAGUACUACCCCUCCUACUCCGGCAGCUCCCGGCGGAGAGCGGCAGACGGCAGCCUAGACACGCAGCCCAAGAAGGUCCGGAAGGUCCCGCCGGGUCUUCCAUCCUCGGUGUACCCGCCCAGCUCAGGUGAGGACUACGGCAGGGAUGCCGCCGCCUACCCGUCCGCCAAGACCCCCAGCAGCACCUAUCCCGCCCCCUUCUACGUGGCAGAUGGCAGCCUGCACCCCUCAGCUGAGCUCUGGAGUCCCCCGGGCCAGGUGGGCUUCGGGCCUAUGCUGGGUGGGGGCUCAUCCCCACUGCCCCUCCCGCCCGGUAGCGGCCCGGUGGGCAGCAGUGGAAGCAGCAGCACGUUUGGUGGCCUGCACCAGCACGAGCGCAUGGGCUACCAGCUGCAUGGAGCAGAGGUGAACGGUGGGCUCCCAUCUGCAUCCUCCUUCUCCUCAGCCCCCGGAGCCACGUACGGCGGCGUCUCCAGCCACACGCCGCCUGUCAGCGGGGCUGACAGCCUCCUGGGCUCCCGAGGGACCACAGCUGGCAGCUCCGGGGAUGCCCUCGGCAAAGCACUGGCCUCGAUCUACUCCCCGGAUCACUCAAGCAAUAACUUCUCGUCCAGCCCUUCCACCCCUGUGGGCUCCCCCCAGGGCCUGGCAGGGACAUCACAGUGGCCUCGAGCAGGAGCCCCCGGUGCCUUAUCGCCCAGCUACGACGGGGGUCUCCACGGCCUGCAGAGUAAGAUAGAAGACCACCUGGACGAGGCCAUCCAUGUGCUCCGCAGCCACGCCGUGGGCACAGCCGGCGACAUGCACACACUGCUGCCUGGCCACGGGGCGCUGGCCUCAGGUUUCACCGGCCCCAUGUCGCUGGGCGGGCGGCACGCAGGCCUGGUUGGAGGCAGCCACCCCGAGGACGGCCUCGCAGGCAGCACCAGCCUCAUGCACAACCACGCGGCCCUCCCCAGCCAGCCAGGCACCCUCCCUGACCUGUCUCGGCCUCCCGACUCCUACAGUGGGCUAGGGCGAGCAGGUGCCACGGCGGCUGCCGGCGAGAUCAAGCGGGAGGAGAAGGAGGACGAGGAGAACACGUCAGCGGCUGACCACUCAGAGGAGGAGAAGAAGGAGCUGAAGGCCCCCCGGGCCCGGACCAGCCCAGACGAGGACGAGGACGACCUUCUCCCCCCAGAGCAGAAGGCCGAGCGGGAGAAGGAGCGCCGGGUGGCCAAUAACGCCCGGGAGCGGCUGCGGGUCCGUGACAUCAACGAGGCCUUUAAGGAGCUGGGGCGCAUGUGCCAACUGCACCUCAACAGCGAGAAGCCCCAGACCAAACUGCUCAUCCUGCACCAGGCUGUCUCGGUCAUCCUGAACUUGGAGCAGCAAGUGCGAGCAGUACGGACGAGGUGCUGUCCCUGGAGGAGAAAGACCUGAGGGACCGGGAGAGGCGCAUGGCCAAUAACGCGCGGGAGCGGGUGCGCGUGCGGGAUAUUAACGAGGCCUUCCGGGAGCUGGGGCGCAUGUGCCAGAUGCACCUCAAGUCGGACAAAGCGCAGACCAAGCUGCUCAUCCUGCAGCAGGCCGUGCAGGUCAUCCUGGGGCUGGAGCAGCAGGUGCGAGAGCGGAACCUGAAUCCCAAAGCAGCCUGUUUGAAACGGCGAGAAGAGGAAAAGGUGUCGGGUGUGGUUGGAGACCCCCAGAUGGUGCUUUCAGCUCCCCACCCAGGCCUGAGCGAAGCCCACAACCCCACCGGGCACAUGUGAAAGGUAUGCCUCCGUGGGACGAGCCACACGUUCUCAGCCCUGUGCUCUGGCCCCAGAACGGCCACUCGAGACCCCGGGCUUCAUCCACAUCCACACCUCACACACCUGUUGUCAGCAUCGAGCCAACACCAACCUGACAAGGUUCGGAGUGAUGGGGGCGGCCAAGGUGACGCUGGGUCCAGGAGCUCCCUGGGGCCCUGGCCUACCACUCACUGGCCUCGCUCCCCCUGUCCCCGAAUCUCAGCCACCGUGUCACCCUGUGACCUGUCCCAUGGAUCCUGAAACUGCAUCUUGGCCCUGUUGCCUGGGCUGACAGGAGCUUUUUUUUUUUUUUUUUUCCCAGUAAACAAAACCUGAAAGCAAGCAACAAAACGUACACUUUGUCAGAGAAGAAAAAAAUGCCUUAACUAUAAAAAGCGGAGAAAUGGAAACAUAUCACUCAUGGGGGAUGCUGUGGAAACCUGGCUUAUUCUUCUAAAGCCACCAGCAAAUUGUGCCUAAGCGAAAUAUUUUUUUUAAGGAAAAUAAAAACAUUAGUUACAAGAUUUUUUUUUUCUUAAUGUAGAUGAAAAUUAGCAAGGAUGCUGCCUUUGGUCUCUGGUUUUUUUAAGCUUUUUUUGCAUAUGUUUUGUAAGCAACAAAUUUUUUUGUAUAAAAGUCCCGUGUCUCUCGCUAUUUCUGCUGCUGUUCCUAGACUGAGCAUUGCAUUUCUUGAUCAACCAGAUGAUUAAAUGUUGUAUUAAAAAGACCCCGUGUAAACCUGAGCCCCCCCGUCCCCCCCCACCCCAGAAGCCACUGCACACAGACAGAACGGGGACAGGCGGCGGGUCUUUUGUUUUUUUGAUGUUGGGGGUUCUCUUGGUUUUGUCAUGUGGAAAGUGAUGCGUGGGCGUUCCCUGAUGAAGGCACCUUGGGGCUUCCCUGUCGCAUCCUCUCCCCUCAGGAAGGGGACUGACCUGGGCUUGGGGGAAGGGACGUCAGCAAGGUGGCUCUGACCCUCCCAGGUGACUCUGCCAAGCAGCUGUGGCCCCCAGGGCUACCCUACACGACGUCCUCCCCAGGCCCCCCUAAGCUGCUCUCCCUUGGAACCUGCACAGCUCUCUGAAAUGGGGCAUUUUGUUGGGACCAAUGACCCCUGGCAUGGGGACCACACCCUGGAGCCCGGUGCUGGGGACCUCCUGGACACCCUGUCCUUCACUCCUUUGCCCCAGGGACCCAGGCUCAUGCUCUGAACUCUGGCUGAGGGGAUGCUGCUCAGGAGCCAGCACAGGACACCCCCCACCCCACCCCACCAUGUCCCCAUUACACCAGAGGGCCAUCGUGACGUAGACAGGAUGCCAGGGGCCUGGCCAGCCUCCCCCAAUGCUGGGGAGCAUCCCUGGGCCUGGGGCCACACCUGCUGCCCUCCCUCUGUGGGGUCCAAGGGCAAGAGUGGCUGGAGCCGGGGGACUGUGCUGGUAUGAGCCCCACGAAGGCCUUGGGCUGUGCGUCCGACCCUGCUGCAGAACCAGCAGGGUGGCCCCUCGGGCCCAUCUGUGUCCCAUGUCCCAGCACCCAGGCCUCUCUCCAGGUCUCCUUUUCUGAUCUUUUGCCAUGAGGGUAACCAGCUCUUCCCAGCUGGCUGGGGACUGUCUUGGGUUUAAAACUGCAAGUCUCCUACCCUGGGAUCCCAUCCAGUUCCACACGAACUAGUGCAGUGGUCACUGUGGCACCCAGAUGUGGGCCUGGCUAGCUGGGGGCCUUCCUGUGCCCUUCAUGCCCCUCCCUGCAUUGAGGCCUUGUGGACCCCUGGGCUGGCUGUGUUCAUCCCCGCUGCAGGUCGGGCGUCUCCCCCCGUGCCACCCCUGAGACUCCCACCGUUACCCCCAGGAGAUUCUGGACUGCCUGACUCCCCUCCCCAGACUGGCUUGGGAGCCUGGGCCCCAUGGCAGAUGCAAGGGAAACCUCAAGGCCAGCUCAAUGCCUGGAAUCUGCCCCCAGUCCAGGCCAGGCGGAGGGGAGGGGCUGUCCGGCUGCCUCUCCCUUCUCGGUGGCUUCCCCUGCGCCCUGGGGGUUUGAUCUCUUAAGGGAACUUGCCUCUCCCUCUUGUUUUGCUCCUGGCCCUGCCCCUAGGUCUGGGUGGGCAGUGGCCCCAUAGCCUCUGGAACUGUGCGUUCUGCAUAGAAUUCAAACGAGAUUCACCCAACCCUAGGAGGAAGAAACAGCAGUUCCUGGGAACCACAAUUAUAGGGGGGUGGGGGGUGUGAUCUGAGUGCCUCAAGAUGGUUUUCAAAAAAAAUUUUUUUAAAGAAAAUAAUUGUAUACGUGUCAACACAGCUGGCUGGAUGAUUGGGACUUUAAAACGACCCUCUUUCAGGUGGAUUCAGAGACCUGUCCUGUAUAUAACAGCACUGUAGCAAUAAACGUGACAUUUUAUAACGA
This is an RNA transcript of Pan troglodytes (chimpanzee), 4793 nucleotides long. It is a transcript of the gene named transcription factor 3, with no coding region annotated. Lineage: Eukaryota; Metazoa; Chordata; Mammalia; Primates; Hominidae. The transcript is spliced from 20 exons. The record is from RefSeq and is a predicted model, not a curated record.